CAAUUAUUUACAUUAUUUUAAAAAAUUUUCGACUUUCUUAUUUGAAUUAGAUUAUAAUACUAUCAAUAACACCAUGUUAUUUGUGCUAUUGGAUUUUCGGCCGUUGGAUGAAAAAAAUAUACGAUUAGGAUAAUAUGGACCCCCUAGGGUUGAGUGAGUUAUUGGUUUAAUAGUAUAAUUAAAGGUGUCCAAAAUAUCUGAUAUCCCAUACCCAAUCCGGACCCUACCCGGACCCGAACCGGACCCGAUAAAAAAUGAAUAGUAUACGGAUAAAAAAAAUUACCCAUUAAAAUUUCGGGUAUAGGUCCGGAUAUUUUAUACCCAUACCCGAUUUGGACCCGACCCGAAUCUAACUUUUAAAUAGGUAGGGUCCGGAAUAGUUUUCAAAUCCGGACCCGGACCCGGACCCGAUGAAAUAUCCGAUAGUAAAUAAAAAAAAAUAAACUUUUGAAGUUGAAGGAUCAAUUUUAAUAUGACUUAUAGAUGAUGAGUCACUAUGUAUUUUCAUCCUAAUGAAACCCUAGCCGUCUCUUUUACUCAUUACUUUUUUCUAAUUUUUUUACUCUUUGUUUUCUACUCUUUUUUUCAUUUUAUUUCCGCCAACAAUAUUUCAUUGUCAACAAUAUAGUUUGUUUAUUGACUAUUUAAUAAAGUUUAUAAAAAAAUAUAUUUAUACGGAUAUCCGUACCCGAUUUAGACCCAAUCCAUAUCCGAUUUUGAACGGGUAGUAUACGGGUAGUCACUACCCAGACCCGCUCAAAUAGACCCGAUGGGUAUAUUAGAAACUUUAGUACCCAGACCCGGACCCGACCCGAAGUUAAAUGGGUAGGGUAUAUAUAUUUUUUUGUAACCAUUUCUUUUUAGGGUAUGGGUACAGUAUAUUAAUUAUCCAGACCCGACCCGGUCCACGGAUAUCUUUAAGUAUAAUCUAACUCAGGUUUAAAUGAUUUGUCCUUAAGUUAGGGAGAAAAUAGAUGUUUUACUAUUUUUACUAUAGGAAAAAUUUAACUCAGGUUUAAAUGAAGAUAACUUAACGGGCACUAACAAUAUGAGUAUUUUUGAAUAACAAAAAAAAUAUGCGAGAAAUACAUUAAAAAUAAAAAAUAAGUAGAGAUAAAUAAGAUAUUUUAGAAAUUUUGUGGGUACACAGACAACUAUUCCUAACCUACAACAACAUGCACCGACAAAGAAAAACCUUGCAGAUGAUCAUCCGGAAGCAGUGCUCUUCAUCACUUCUCCUUUGACCUCAUCUGCAUCUUUAACGGACAAACAAAUGCAAUGUUGUAUAUUUAUUAGGGAAAACUUCAAAUAUCAUCCCUAUAGUUUCACACUUUUUCACUUUAGUGUCAUUUGAUUUAAAGUGUAUCAAUUUAGUGCCAUAUGAUUUUUUUUUAUCUUUUUAUUAUUAAUUUCACUAAUAUUUUUCGUUAAAUUAGUGACAAAAUUAAAACUAAAGGAUACUAAAAUGAAUAUUCGAUAAACUUAAAUGGGGUAUCUGAAGUUUUUUGUAUAUAAUUUAACAAAAUAUUAACGAAAAAGCUGACGAAAAAAUAAAAAAAAAAUCACAUGACUUUAACUUGAUACACUUUAAACCACAGAGUACUAAAUGAAAAAAUGCGAGAUCACAGGGGUGGUAUUUGAAGUUUACCCUAUUUAAUAUUACUCCUAACAUAGGGAGGGGAGGGACCAUGCAGGGAGGGACAGAGGAGACAAGGACCAGAGCAUAUAUAUAUAUAUAUAUAGAGAGAGAGAGAGAGAGAGAGUUGAGCUAGGAUAUUUUUACAAGUAUCACCCCCAUGGUGCUGUUAGGUUUUUAGCCAUUAGAUCUAUUUCUUGAUUACUAAUAGUUUUUGGAUCAAACACAAUUCCACCUACCACCAUCAUCUCAACCUCACAUCUCUCCAUCUAAGGGCUAAAAACACUAAAGCACCACCCCCAUGGUACUUGUAAAAGUAUUCUAGCUCCACUAUAUAU
RNAcentral lists this long non-coding RNA (1974 nucleotides) under Ananas comosus (pineapple). RNAcentral's name for it is "long non-coding RNA (ACOM_LNC023069)". The record is from RNAcentral. Lineage: Eukaryota; Viridiplantae; Streptophyta; Magnoliopsida; Poales; Bromeliaceae.